AGGGGGGAGGAUGGAGGGUAAAAUUACUAAGGUAUAUGGAAUUUCAUGUUCCAACCACAUACAUGAUUGAAUAGGAUGAUCCAAACAGGCUCUAAAAGUUCACUGCUGCUCCCUCUCAGCGAGCCUGCGGAGACCGCCAGAGAAGUUCCGUCCUAGCCUAUGGACGGGCCGAUGGUGGGCGCUGUCGCAACGGAGGAUUUGCCGCCGCCCCUGCAGCUGAAAAAAAGGAGGAGAGAGGUUUACUGAACAAAAAGAGGACGAUCCAAAGGAGAGUGAAAAUUAUUAAGCUGAAACAGAUAAGCUUAAGGCCGGACGUGAUCGAGAUGUGGGAAUGCAGCAGCAGCGGAUCCAGAGCUGCUAGCUUGUAUGAAAUCGUAUAGGAAUAUUGUACCUCUUCCAAGACACUCGCGUCAGAAGCGAAAUUUCCUAGGGGGAAAGCGAGGUAACGAGAAGCAGGCUUCUCAAUUUCCGACUUCAUUGCUGC
This 484-nucleotide long non-coding RNA is filed under the name Elaeis guineensis (African oil palm). Its description in RNAcentral is "long non-coding RNA (EGUI_LNC011359)". Lineage: Eukaryota; Viridiplantae; Streptophyta; Magnoliopsida; Arecales; Arecaceae. The record is from RNAcentral.